This 594-nucleotide long non-coding RNA is filed under the name Rhagoletis pomonella (apple maggot). Its description in RNAcentral is "uncharacterized LOC118741112". Lineage: Eukaryota; Metazoa; Arthropoda; Insecta; Diptera; Tephritidae. The record is from RNAcentral.
CAUGGUGGAAUAAUACAAGGUGUUGGAUAUUGACAGCGUUCUCGCUCUAAUCCGCCAUCUUGGCUCCCUUAGCUAUAUCAGUGUUUCCCUCUUGAAAAAACUACAUUUUAUCGCCUUUAAAAAAGUACUAAACUACCUCAUUCCCUAUUCCAAAACCGAUUUGCAAUCACUGAACAAUUCUUUGACAUUUACUCUAUUCUUAUCGUUGGCAACUGAAAAUUAAAUUAGAAAUUUCAACAUUAAUUCGGCAAAAAAACAUCGGUUUAGAGUUCUCCCCAAGGAUUUGUAGUUAUUUUGGUCGGUGCUUCCUUCCGCUGCAAUUCCGUCUGUGGUUCACUGCCACUGGCCUUGCUUUUUCAACGAUAUAACUGUUUUCUUGUGAUUUUUGCUGCUGCAAUCCCGUCUGUGGUUCACUGCCUCUGGCCCUGCUUUUCCAACGAUAUAACUGUUUUUUUGGUAACUUCUACCGCUAAGACUUUGUUGCUUUUUCCCUUUUCCCUAAAAACAUAAUAGUGCUACAAAGCUCAAUAACAAUAUGGAAACAAAUGUUAAUAAGCCACAAUAAUAUUGACAAUAAAUAAGAUUUCACUACGA